Long non-coding RNA from Nymphaea colorata (pocket water lily), 216 nucleotides. RefSeq lists it as uncharacterized. The transcript has 3 exons. Lineage: Eukaryota; Viridiplantae; Streptophyta; Magnoliopsida; Nymphaeales; Nymphaeaceae. The record is from RefSeq and is a predicted model, not a curated record.
UAAUUGCAACAAGAGAAGGACCUCAACAUGUGAAAGAGAUGAGACAGAGACGGGAGCUAAACCAAUGUGUUUACUCAUCGGUACCUCUUCUUUUCUACAAGGCUGUCUAGUGUCUGGUGCUUGCUGAAGCCUAAUGGAGGACUGUUGUCUACUGCAACCUGUUGAAGCUCGACUAUUUGGGGGUUUUCCAUUUGUCAUGGACUCAUGUGAGAAGCA